AAGACUAUACUUUCAGGGAUCAUUUCUAUAGUAUGAGACUAGAGAAUUGUGGCUGAAAGUGUAGCACGGAGGUAACCACGAGGAGGAGCUGGAGCGUUCUCUUCAGGCGUGAAGCAAACGUGGUUAACUGCUUCUCAGCAGCUGUCACUUGCCAUUGAUGAUCGUUCUUCCCUUCCUUCGGGUUGGGUGAGAGGAAGGGAACGCAGGCUGAGUGGC
Molecule: small nucleolar RNA, 216 nt
Filed under: Sarcophilus harrisii (Tasmanian devil)
Lineage: Eukaryota; Metazoa; Chordata; Mammalia; Dasyuromorphia; Dasyuridae
Description: Small nucleolar RNA U3 (ENSSHAG00000031915.1)
Rfam family: Small nucleolar RNA U3
About the family: Small nucleolar RNAs (snoRNAs) are involved in the processing and modification of rRNA in the nucleolus. There are two main classes of snoRNAs: the box C/D class, and the box H/ACA class. U3 snoRNA is a member of the box C/D class.
Source: Rfam by way of RNAcentral